UACGGAGGGUGCAAGCGUUAAUCGGAAUUACUGGGCGUAAAGCGUGCGCAGGCGGUUUUGUAAGUCUGUCGUGAAAUCCCCGGGCUCAACCUGGGAAUUGCGAUGGAGACUGCAUGGCUAGAGUCUCGGAGAGGAUCGUGGAAUUCUCGGUGUAGAGGUGAAAUUCGUAGAUAUCGAGAGGAACACCGGUGGCGAAGGCGGCGAUCUGGACGAUGACUGACGCUGAGACGCGAAAGCGUGGGGAGCAAACAGG
Molecule: ribosomal RNA, 253 nt
Filed under: uncultured bacterium
Lineage: Bacteria
Description: partial 16S ribosomal RNA
Rfam family: Bacterial small subunit ribosomal RNA
Source: RNAcentral